This 1263-nucleotide ribosomal RNA is filed under the name Triticum aestivum (bread wheat). RNAcentral's name for it is "partial small subunit ribosomal RNA". The record is from RNAcentral. Lineage: Eukaryota; Viridiplantae; Streptophyta; Magnoliopsida; Poales; Poaceae.
AUGGGUUUACGUGAUAUUGAGGUUUUUAAUUUGGCUUUGCUUGCUAGAUAAGCUUGGAUGAUCUUGCAAGAACCAAACUUUUUGAGUGCCCGUGUUCUAAAAUCAAGGUACUUCCUAGACGGAGAGUUCUUCGAUGCACCACUUGGCUCAAACCCAUCCCAGGGAUUGAUCAAAUGGAUAGGAACGGGGAAGGACACUCAAAUUUGGCAUCACAACUGGAUGCCGAGGGACUACAAGCUUCGUCCUAUCUGUCCUCGAUCAGCAAAUCCACCCUCGUUGAUGUCUGAGGUGAUUGAUCAGACAACCAGGACCUGGAAUAGGCAAGUGUUAGAGGAACACUUCAUUGCACUGGAUAUAGAUGUUAUUCUGAAUAUCCCUCUCAGUACGCAAUUGCAUGAUGAUUUCUGGGCGUGGCACUAUGACCAAAGGGGCAUGUUUUCUGUUUGUUCUACUUACAAAAUGAUCUCGGGGAUUAAAUUUCAGUGGGAUGACUAGUUGGAAAAUCGAACAAGCAACUCAAAUCAAACAGCGACGAAGAAAGAUUGGUCCAGGUUGUGGAAAAUAGAUGUGCCAUCCAAGGUUAGGGUUUUUGUGUGGCGUUUGGCUCACACGUCUUUGCCGACGGGCAUGACAAGACACGAGUGAAAGAUGGCUACAUCUCCAGUAUGCGUGAUAUGCUCGGUGAUAGACGAUACGUGGCGUCAUUCUCUUCUGAAUUGCCGUAUGGCUCGGUGUGUCUGGUCGCUGGGAGAUGAAGGAAUUCUGGAGCAUGUGAUAUCAAAUGAAUCUGAAGAUGCAAGACAAUUGAUUUUUUGGCUGUUUGACACGCUUCCACGACAUGACCUGGCCCAUGGGCUUAUCACGAUGUGGUCUAUUUGGUCGUCUAGGAGGAAAUCCAUCCAUAACAAUGAGUUUCAGAGCCCCUUAUCUAUGAUGUGUUUCAUCAAUCGCUACCUGCAGAACUUGGAGAUCACUACCGCUUCAUUACCGAGAGCUACUGCACGUGCGCUGCAGCGUCAGUGGCAACGGGGGUGGCUUCCCCCGGUAGAAAUAGAGGUUAAAAUAAACGUGGAUGCGGUUUUAUCCCGACAUGGAAACAAAGGUGCAACAUCAUCUAUUUGCAGAGACAGUAAUUGUCGCGGAUAUACCCCGCGGUAUGACCCGACCGGUGAUAUGACCCGGCUGGGACUUGGCAUUUCAUCGGUAACCCGCCGGAACACUUGCGACUCAUUGAUGAAUCGGCCGGGCCUGGCAAUUCAUUAA